CGCUCCGCGCCGCUCUCGUAGCCCUGGGAGCCCAGGUUCCUUGGGACUGCGACGCGACGCCGAGCCGGGACUGCCCGGUGCGGGAGGAGCAGAGGGAAGAAGCGAGAGAGGAGGGGGCGGCUGCUGGUGGGAACGCGCGUUCUUUCCGGGAAGCGGAGUGGGACUGCCUCGUUCCCCUCGAUUUGCACCGUCACCCGGGCUGUUUGGAAAGAAAAGGGAGGCGCUGAGCGUGCCGCGGUGUCUCCGGCCGCGUGUGCACAGUGUGUGUGUGCCUGCGUGUUUGUGUGUCUGCGCCGCUGUCUCAGUGCUCAGGGCUUUGGUAGCGCCCAGAGAGAGUUCGAGGGUCACCUCCAGAAACUCGCAGAAACUGGAAGAGGAUGAGGGGAGGACACACCUCCUUCCUCCGAAGGACUUGGAAGACUUUGCAUCUCCCCUCCCCCACUUUUCCGCCCGGCUCUUCUUUUGUUGUCAAGUCCUUUUGAUAAAUGGUGGGGCUGGGAGCGCUGGGAGCCUGGAGUCCGCCUGUGCCGCGCAGGGCGGGGGCCGAGGCUGGAGGCCGGGUUUCGACCGGCGCGCACCCGAAGCGGACCCGGGUACGCGCGGGGUCCGAUUGGUACCUGCUCUCGCGAGCUCACCCCUUCCCCUUGGGCCACCCUAUUACCUUUACCCUUCUGUUUCCCACUCCUCCACGGUACCGAGAACUUUCUGGGAAUCGACGGGAUUUCUCUGGCUGUCCUUUGCAUUGAAUUUAUCCGAAUAAAUCCAACUCUCAGGCAUCUAGCAGAACCGAUUCUCUACUGGCAAGUACUGUGUGCUACACCCAGCCUAGAUGGGGGGCACGGGGUGGCUGCUGGCGCACAGGCUCAGCGGGUCUGACCUCUGAGGUCGGAUGCACCACAGCUCCCAAGGCUUCUCAGUGCUCAGCGGUAUCUUGUCGACCCCACUUUGCCUAGUGCCUCGGAACUUGCCUGGCUGAGUCUGCCAGCAGCGAAAACUGAAAGAAAACUCUACUGAAGACAGCACAAACUUCCUCGAUACAAGUUUACAACCAAGAUUAGUGAUUGCUUCAGGAGGACGGUAGGCUCCAGUAUGCGGUUUGGGUUGGGAUGGGGUCGAAGAGAAUACCAGGUUGCUGAGCCUGGCCCGAGGUGAAAACGCUAGGGAAGCCUUCCAAUCUGAUGCUAUUUCUUGGCAACUCUUCAGCUCUGGAUGGUAAAAAAGGAAAGAAAGAAGAGUAAGUUUCCAAAUGCCACGGAUGCCCAGCGUGAAUCGCACUAGGGAGCAACGGGAGGGGGCCGGACUUGUAAAAGUUGCUGAAAGGUUUGUUCAGAAGCGUCACCCUAAUGGAAACCGAGGACCAGUUCGCUUCCCUUGGUACAGAAUGGUCAGGAACCAGCCUGGGUUCCACCCUGCCCACUUCUAUACCAUCAUCUUCAACAAGAGGUUAAAUAACCACCCACCACUGAAGCUGUAAACUUCUGCACUGCCAUCCGAAGACGAGGCCUUGAUACCGAGGGGCGAGAAAGACCACUCAUCCACCAGCUCGGUCCCAGCUCUAGGAGCGGUUGGCAUGCGGAUGGCGGAAUGAUCGCGGUCUCCACUUGGCUGUUCCGGGCGCUCAGAGCUAAUCCCCCAGCUCUGGGCAGCCAGCGCUUUUUCCCCGGAGCUGCAGAUUUAGGGAGCCCGCCGAGGGGCGCAAAAUACCCGCGCGGACUGGCGCGGGGGGCGGCCGCUCGUCUCGCCGCGGGGCCUGUCGCCGGGCUGGCCGCGGCGGGUGAGUGAUGAGGGCAGAGAAGGGCGCCCAUAAAUCGUGGGUGUCAGGGCGAAAAACUCUCUUUAUUGUCUGUGUGAUGGAUGGGCCCGGGGACGAGACACCAAAUACUUCGUAUCGCCUUUAAAUGGGAACACAUUUUCCGCGGCCAUAAUUCAUGUUUUUUAAAUAGAAAGUUUGAAAUGUUGC
This is a long non-coding RNA of Octodon degus (degu), 1960 nucleotides long. RefSeq lists it as uncharacterized. The record is from RefSeq and is a predicted model, not a curated record. Lineage: Eukaryota; Metazoa; Chordata; Mammalia; Rodentia; Octodontidae. The transcript has 2 exons.